Molecule: long non-coding RNA, 804 nt
Organism: Maylandia zebra (zebra mbuna)
Lineage: Eukaryota; Metazoa; Chordata; Actinopteri; Cichliformes; Cichlidae
Source: RefSeq, a predicted model, not a curated record
GUUUCUGGUGAGCGUGGAUGGGCUGGAACCUGUCCCAGCUGUCCUGAAGCAAAAGGCGACACACCCUCAUCAGAUCAUCGGGUCAUCACAAGGUUGAUUUUCCAAAGGGUGGCUGGCCUCUCCCUUAGAGAUGAGGUGAGGAGUUCGGCCAUCCAGGAGGGGCUCAGAGAUGGAUGAGUGGAUGGCUUAAAAUGCAGAUCCUACACCUCGCGUACAAAGGAAAAGACAGCCCAUCGCUCUUGCCUUAACUGAGCUGUGCUGACGACCUGUGAAAUACCAAACUGUAUCAUGUGUUUUUAAAGCCCUCCGUGGAUCAACUUCACGAUAUGUCACAGAUCUCAUAACUCCAUAGUUUGCCUGCAGCCAGUUCAUUCUGAGACCGCAGCAUCAUCGCCUGCGACUUCCACAUCGUCGCCUGCAGCGUCUGGUCCCGCCGCUGUCUGGUCCCACCGCCGCUACAUUGUCAUCAGAUCCUGUUCCACCUCGCCUCUGCCGGCUGCUUUCCAGGCCUCUAGUUGGCCGUCGAGGCUGGUCUCCUGAGAAAGUUCGUCGCCGCCGCUGGCUUCGGGGUCGGCCUCCGGACCUGCUCUGUUGCCGCUGCCGCCUUCCGCGUGGCCGGCCUCCUGAUUUGUUUUGCCUGUGUCACCGCCACCGUUGCUAUCCGCACGGCCGCCCCCUGAACUGUUUUGGCCCUUGUGUUGUUGACCUCCGGGUCGACCCCCUGAACUUUUCAUGGACUCCUGUUGAUCUAGUUUGGUUUUUAAUCUGUUUUCCUGGGUUCUUGAACUUUGUGCUCCUUGUUUU